Molecule: ribosomal RNA, 158 nt
Filed under: Aspergillus avenaceus
Lineage: Eukaryota; Fungi; Ascomycota; Eurotiomycetes; Eurotiales; Aspergillaceae
Also listed under: 2 other names
Description: 5.8S ribosomal RNA
Rfam family: 5.8S ribosomal RNA
About the family: 5.8S ribosomal RNA (5.8S rRNA) is a component of the large subunit of the eukaryotic ribosome. It is transcribed by RNA polymerase I as part of the 45S precursor that also contains 18S and 28S rRNA.
Source: RNAcentral
AAACUUUCAACAAUGGAUCUCUUGGUUCCGGCAUCGAUGAAGAACGCAGCGAAAUGCGAUAACUAAUGUGAAUUGCAGAAUUCCGUGAAUCAUCGAGUCUUUGAACGCACAUUGCGCCCCCUGGUAUUCCGGGGGGCAUGCCUGUCCGAGCGUCAUUG